This 440-nucleotide ribosomal RNA is filed under the name uncultured bacterium. RNAcentral's name for it is "partial 16S ribosomal RNA". It matches the Rfam family "Bacterial small subunit ribosomal RNA", at positions 338 to 795 of the family's 1533-position model. The record is from RNAcentral.
CCUACGGGUGGCAGCAGUAGGGGAUAUUGCUCAAUGGGGGAAACCCUGAUGCAGCAACGCCGCGUGGAUGAUGAAGGUUUUCGGAUCGUAAACUCCUUUCGUCAGAGAAGAAAAUGACGGUAUCUAACGAAUAAGCACCGGCUAACUCCGUGCCAGCAGCCGCGGUAAUACGGAGGGUGCAAGCGUUACGCGGAAUUACUGGGCGUAAAGAGGGCGGAGGCGGGAUAGCAAGUCAGAUGUGAAAUCCUAUGGCUUAACCAUAGAACUGCAUUUGAAACUGCUAUGCUAGAGUAUGGGAGAGGUAGGUGGAAUUCUUGGUGUAGGGGUAAAAUCCGUAGAGAUCAAGAGGAAUACUCAUGGCGAAGGCGACCUGCUAGAACAUAACUGACGCUGAGGCGCGAAGGCGUGGGGAGCAAACAGGAUUAGAUACCCUUGUAGUC